Molecule: ribosomal RNA, 279 nt
Filed under: uncultured bacterium
Lineage: Bacteria
Description: partial 16S ribosomal RNA
Rfam family: Bacterial small subunit ribosomal RNA
Source: RNAcentral
UGCCAGCCGCCGCGGUAAUACGGAGGGGGCUAGCGUUGUUCGGAAUUACUGGGCGUAAAGGGUGCGUAGGCGGCCCAUCAAGUUAGACGUGAAAGCCCCGGGCUCAACCUGGGAAUUGCGUUUAAUACUGGUGAGCUAGAGUACGAGAGAGGAAAGUGGAAUUCCUAGUGUAGAGGUGAAAUUCGUAGAUAUUAGGAAGAACACCAGUGGCGAAGGCGACUUUCUGGACCGAUACUGACGCUGAGGUACGAAAGUGUGGGGAGCAAACAGGAUUAGAUA